Molecule: long non-coding RNA, 1849 nt
Organism: Coturnix japonica (Japanese quail)
Lineage: Eukaryota; Metazoa; Chordata; Aves; Galliformes; Phasianidae
Source: RefSeq, a predicted model, not a curated record
AAAAGAAGUCCCAAUCUAUGUAGCUCUGCUAUCGCACUAUCGCAGCAACUCCUGAGACUGUGAGCCCUCCCCGUCUCAAAGCAGGAGCCUAGAACACAAAAACAUACAAAGAACAUGUAGCAGCCUACCAUCUUCCCACUGUGUUGGCAUCAUCUGUUCUUGCUCCAGGACUGAGUAAACAUAAUGUUGAUGAGAUGCAGCAGACUGACAGCCCUGGCAAUUGAACUCAUGCAUUUAUCUCCAUCAUGGGGCAACAAAAGGCCAAGACUACCUCUUGUCUUGUGAGCUCUAACUUGAAGGGAUGGCCUCAAAUAAGUACUCAGUACCUGACAUUCUGUGACUCUAUGAUUCGAUGAAAUAUCUAAAUGGUUUCAAGGGGCCACUAACAACAUAAGCAGUGGUGGACGCAAUCUGGAUCACAGGAAGUUCGGAAAGAACACAAGAAAAAACCUUUGUUUCUUGGAGGCAUACAGAGCACUGCAGCAAGCUGGUCAAAGAAGUCAUGAAAUCUUAUUUUCUGGAGACAGUCAAAACCCAUCUGGAUUCUGUCACGUGCAGCCUACUCUAUGGAACCUGCUUAGCAGGGCAUUGACUUAGGACAUCUCCAAAUGUCCUUUCCAACUCCUAGAGUACUGUGAUUCUGUGAUCUUCCUUCACAUAAAUAUCGUAAUAUAUAAAUGAGUAGGAGUUCUGACUGUAAUAAUUAAAAGCAUGUUCUAAAAUAAAAUACAAUUUAAAUAUUUGAAUAAUCAAUAGUUACCGGUUCUUUUUUUUAUUUAAAUUUUUGACAAAUCUUUCACCUUAUAUCUGACAAGCUUUUCUUACUUAAAACAAUAAAAACAAAAUAUUAAGUGGACUAACAUAUUGUAAUGGGACACAGCAAGUUUGUAAUACUGGAAAUAUGCAUCUACAAAGCUCUUUGGAAAUCAGUAAAUGAACAGUUUUUGGCAUUUAUCAGAAAAUAGCCUCUGUCUUUCCAAUUUCUUUUGGUAAAUAAGAAAUAUCUCUAGAUCUCUAGAUGUUUCUCAUUCCUCAAUAUUCUUGCUUCUGCAGGAGAUCUGAUAUAAUAAAUAAAAAUACAUUGGCAUUAGUUGCAGUCCAAAAGAAGAAACAGUUCAGUGUGGUAUCGUGAAUGUUGAAUGAACAUUGUAUGGAUAAAAAUACUGAAGAUAUAGCCAUUUGCACAAUAAUUUGACUCCUUGUACUUUUAUUAUCACAGUAUAUUUCCCUACUUUUGCAGAGCAGGAAACUAAUGCCCAUCUUGGGAUGAGAUAUUUAAAUUUUUGGGGGUAUCUUUGUUUUACUGUGGUGUUUUCUUAUAUUGCACUCUUUGUUCCAACAAAGCAAUCCUCUUUUAGACAGCAGUGAGAGAAUAUAAAAUAAAAAACUGAUGAGAAGCCCUAUUCCUAAUGCUCAAACAUGCUCAGACUAAUUGUCUGAGUAGACAUUAACUACAGUUAUUUUGAAAUGCUUACAGGGCACUUAUUUCUCUAUGUGCAUAUAUGUGCACACUUGUAUGUAUUUGCAUGUGUUUGUAUACAUAUACACAAAAAUAUGUACACAAACAUAACUACAGAAUGAGUGUACAUCAAUCUGAACUCUCUCCUUGACUUUCUUUUUCUGCCUACCUGCAUAAACUGUUAAGAAUUCUUACUUUUCUUUGUUAAAAUGACUCAGAUAAAUGUAUUAUUUAAAUGUGUAUUCAGAUAUGAGUAGUUUCACAUCUGUUUACUAUAAAUAGUUGUGUUUUUCAAUUAGUAAAGUUCUUAGUGAAGGUUAUAAAACCUAGCUGUCUUCCAACCUGUCCUGAUCCGUAUGAAGAUCUGUCUGAGGGACUGUAAGGACAUGG